UUUUUGGAAUGAUACAGAGAAGAUUAGCAUGGCUCCUGCACAAGGAUGACAUGCACAAAUUUAGAAAUGGUCCAAAUUUUU
RNAcentral lists this small nuclear RNA (81 nucleotides) under Nelumbo nucifera (sacred lotus). Lineage: Eukaryota; Viridiplantae; Streptophyta; Magnoliopsida; Proteales; Nelumbonaceae. The record is from RNAcentral.